This 440-nucleotide ribosomal RNA is filed under the name uncultured bacterium. RNAcentral describes it as "partial 16S ribosomal RNA". It matches the Rfam family "Bacterial small subunit ribosomal RNA", at positions 338 to 795 of the family's 1533-position model. The record is from RNAcentral.
CCUACGGGUGGCAGCAGUGGGGAAUAUUGCACAAUGGGGGAAACCCUGAUGCAGCGACGCCGCGUGAGUGAAGAAGUAAUUCGUAUUGUAAAGCUCUAUCAGCAGGGAAGAAAAUGACGGUACCUGCAUACUAAGCCCCGGCUAACUACGUGCCAGCAGCCGGGGUAAUACGUAGGGGGCAAGCGCUAUCCGGAUUUACUGGGUGUAAAGGGAGCGUAGACGGCAGGGCAAGUCUGGAGUGAAAGGCGUGGGCUCAACCCGCAGACUGCGCUGGAAACUGUACGGCUGGAGUGCAGGAGAGGUGAGUGGAAUUCCUAGUGUAGCGGUGAAAUGCGUAGAUAUUAGGAGGAACAUCAGUGGCGAAGGCGACUAUCUGGCACAUAACUGACGCUGAGGAGCGAAAGCGUGGGGAGCAAACAGGAUUAGAUACCCCUGUAGUC